RNAcentral lists this ribosomal RNA (460 nucleotides) under uncultured bacterium. Its description in RNAcentral is "partial 16S ribosomal RNA". It matches the Rfam family "Bacterial small subunit ribosomal RNA", at positions 338 to 795 of the family's 1533-position model. The record is from RNAcentral.
CCUACGGGUGGCAGCAGUGAGGAAUAUUGGUCAAUGGACGCAAGUCUGAACCAGCCAUGCCGCGUGCAGGAAGACGGCUCUAUGAGUUGUAAACUGCUUUUGUACGAGGGUAAACGCAGGCACGUGUAUCUGUUUGCAAGUAUCUUAUGAAUAAGGAUCGGCUAACUCCGUGCCAGCAGCCGCGGUAAUACGGAGGAUUCAAGCGUUAUCCGGAUUUAUUGGGUUUAAAGGGUGCGUAGACGGUCUGUUAAGUUAGUGGUGAAAUCCCGAGGCUCAACCUCGGAAUUGCAUCUGAUACUGGCCGUCUAGAGAGUAGUUGAGGUAGGCGGAAUGUGUGGUGUAGCGGUGAAAUGCUUAGAGAUCAUGCAGAACACCGAUUGCGAAGGCAGCUUACCAAGCUACCUCUGACGUUGAGGCACGAAAGCGUGGGGAGCAAACAGGAUUAGAUACCCCGGUAGUC